Molecule: long non-coding RNA, 3242 nt
Filed under: Sus scrofa (pig)
Lineage: Eukaryota; Metazoa; Chordata; Mammalia; Artiodactyla; Suidae
Description: lncRNA (ENSSSCG00000058075.1)
Source: RNAcentral
GCUAUCUUUGUUUUUUUUGUUGUUGUUAAGCUUUUCCUUGAGCAUAGCUAACCCCACUAGACAGCACCCUUCUUUGUAGUUGAACUUCAGAGGAAAAAAAACUGACAGGCAAAGGGAUGCAUUAGGAAAAAUGGAUAGCCCUUCUUACCUGGUAGACAGGUGUAGUCGGGCUGUGAGCAGUCAAGGAGACUGCAGACUGGGGAUGCCAAGGCAAGAAAGCAGUUGGUAUCAGCAUUGAGGAAUGGGGCUGAGCACCAGGAUGAAUUUUUUGGUUGGUUGAUUGGUUCAACCAUUCAUUUAUUAAUUUAGCAAAUGUUUGGGACCGGGUAUGUGCCAGGCAUUGUGCAAGUUGCUGACUGUAGAGGGGUGAGCGAUGUAGAUGCGGUCUGUGUGCAGACUUGAACAGUUAUUAACAGUAGAGUUGCAUUUAAGUGUAUAUAUCUUAUUUAAACUGAAGCAAAAAUAUAAAAGAAUGAUUAUAAAAGAGUGUGAGGGAACUUUUGGGGAUGACAGAAAUGCUCUUGAUCUUCUUUUUUUUUUUUUUUUUAAUUUUCCCACUGUUCAGCAAGGGGGUCAGGUUAUCCUUACAUGUAUACAUUACAAUUACAUUUUUUCCCCCACCCUUUGUUCUGUUGCAACAUGAGUAUCUAGACAAAGUUCUCAAUGCUACUCAGCAGGAUCUCCUUGUAAAUCUAUUCUAAGUUGUGCCUGAUAAGCCCAAGCUCUGAUCCCUCCCACUCCCUCCCUCUCCCAUCAGGCAGCCACAAGUCUUUUCUCCAAGUCCAUGAUUUUCUUUUCUGAGGAGACGUUCAUUUGUGCUGGAUAUUAGAUUCCAGUUAUAAGUGAUAUCAUAUGGUAUUUGUCUUUGUCUUUCUGGCUCAUUUCACUCAGUAUGAGAGUCUCUAGCUCCAGUCAUGCUGCUGCAAAUGGCAUUAUGUCAUUCUAUUUUUAUGGCUGAGUAGUAUUCCAUUGUGUAUAUAUACCACAUCUUCCGAAUCCAAUCAUCUGUCGAUGGACAUUUGGGUUGUUUCCAUGUCCUGGCUAUUGUGAAUAGUGCUGCAAUGAACAUGCGGGUGCACGUGUCUCUUUUAAGUAGAGUUUUGUCCGGAUAGAUGCCCAAGAGUGGGAUUGCGGGGUCAUAUGGAAGUUCUAUGUAUAGAUUUCUAAGGUAUCUCCAAACUGUUCUCCAUAGUGGCUGUACCAGUUUACAUUCCCACCAGCAGUGCAGGAGGGUUCCCUUUUCUCCACAGCCCCUCCAGCACUUGUUACUGUGGAUUUAUUAAUGAUGGCCAUUCUGACUGGUGUGAGGUGGUAUCUCAUGGUAGUUUUGAUUUGCAAGAAAUGCUCUUGAUCUUGAUUUCGUUGGUUGAAACUCAUCAAACUGUAUACUUCAAAAAGAGUGAAUUUUGUCACAUGUAAAUUAUGCUUCAAUCAGACAUAAUAAUAGUAUCUAUUAACUUAAACAACAAAACACUGAAACCCAGACAGAGAUGCUUACUAUUGUUACUAUUGUCCUACAGUGUUUAGGAGGGUCUAAGGCAGAAAAUGAAGUAAUUGGCAUUAAUUUUAGACAAAUUAAGAUCUCUUAUUUUAAAAUUCCUUCUUAAUGGUGAAAUGACUGCAUGUCCCAGAAAUUCAAGAGAUUCUACUGGGGGGGGGGGGAUUUUGACUAUAAGAAAUAUAUAAACAUCAAUAGAUUGCUCUGAUCUUGCAAAAACCACAGAAAUGGAAAUUUUAAAAAUUUCUUCGUGUUAGAGACAAAAACCAUAAAUACUUAUGGCAAGAAAGACAUAGCUCCAACAUAAAACUAGGAAAUCUUAAUGAAGAAUAUAAAACAAAUGCAGAACUUGAGUCUAGUGCCAUAUCAUAUGUGUCAUCUGUUGCUGUGUAAAAAAAAAAGUAUCCCCAAACUGUGUAGUUUAAACAGUAAACAUUAUCUCACACCAUAUCUGUAGUUAGGCAUGUAGAAGUCCUUAGUUGGAUCGUCCUGAUUUGGGUCUCUCAUGAAGCUGCAGUCAGAAUGUUAGCAUAGGCUGCUGUCAUCUCAGGCUUGACGGGGCUGGAGGGUCUGCUUCCAUGAUGGCUCAUUCGUAUAGCUAUUGGCAGGAGGUCUCUAUUCCUCACCAGCUGGACCUCUCCAUAGGCCUUCUUGAGUGUGCUCACAGUAUGGUAGCUGGCUUUCCCCAGCGUGAGCGAUCCAAGUCAGAAAACAUGGCAGAAGCCAUGAUAACGCAUGACCAACCUCAGAAAUCAUGUGCCAUCAUUUCUGCCAUAACCUUACUCAGUGAGAGAGGAGAUCACACAAGGAUGUGAAUAUCAGGAGUCAGAGAUCCUGGGGCCAUUUUGGAAGCGGGCUGCUACUAUACCCUAGCUGCUGGAGAAGCUGAGAAAGCUUCUAGCUGGCAUUUACAAUUCUUUUGUAAGGAGUGGGUUCAUGAGAUGGGGGUAAGAACCAGAAGUGGGGCUUUUCCCCCAAAUGGGAAGGGGAUUCAGAUGAUAAAUAUUCACCGCAUGUUUGAAUAAACAAACAGAACAAUGCUGCAAGAGAGUCCAGAAGUAGAUUGUUUCAGUUUAAUAUAUGACGAAAAUGAUGUUUCAAUUUAGGGGAGAAAGGAUAGUCUUUCAUAAAUGAUCCUGACCUUGACCAAUUAUCCAUGUAAACCAAAAUAAAGUUGACUCUACUUUUUAAUUUUUUAUUAAAGUAUAGUUGAUUUACAGUGUUAUGUCAAUUUCUGCUGUAAAGCAAAGUGACUCAGUCAUACGUAGAUACACAUUAAUGUCCUUGGUCUUAGUUUAAUGUUUAAAAACCUACAGUAUUUCAGCUGAGACGUGAAGCCACUGUAAUUAUUUCCUCAUGUUAACCUUUUGGUAGUUUUUCAUCAAGCAAUUUAUGUGAUGUUUAAUAUUUCUAAACUAUGGACCUUGUUUUAUUUUUGUCUCUCGAACAGUGAAUGUGUUUUAAUGUAAUUGUAACUAUCAUUUACAUUAGUUCACAUUCUGUCUUUUCAACUAGUUUGAACUACAAAUUUGGAUUAUUUGUGAUCUCUCUAGGCCCUGCCCCAACUCAACACCACGUUACCCUACUUGAGAAUUGACUUUGGGUUUAUACAAUGGUUAUCCGCAUUUACUAAUAAAAUCUGGCAGUGCCGUGAGUCUCUUACAUGCCAUCAGAAAGGUCAAACCUGUUAUAAAUUAAAUUCACUUCUGGUCUUAUAGUUUACAUUUGUAUUUUCUAUUAAAAG